AAUUAUAAUAAAGUUGAUGUGAAUGUAAGAGGUUGUGUUAAAUGGGCAUAUAAUAUCGUCUCAUAUCGAUCGCAUGCCCCUGAAUCUAAAUCGUAUCGCGGCAGACUUUUGAUAUCUACAAAUAUCGUAUCGUUGUCCAAUGAAUCCAGUGAUGAAACCAGAGAUUUACACCCCCAAAAAACACUAAAUGAAUGUUGUAUUUUCCUGCUGCAUCAGACGAGCAGUUGUAUUACAGCUUCCAGGGAAAACCACGCUUGGUGGUGUGUAACCAGGGAGACGCCGAACAACAGAAAAAGUAUUGGCGUCCUACCAUUGGAAAACACUGAGGGAGGAUGUAAAAAAAUGGCCACGGACAGAGGUUUGCAUGCUGGACAAAUGAGGCCACAGCAUUGCUCCAAGGAUCACUGCAGCCGAUCUACAGGAUCCCGAAGACCAGAAAAAGGGAUCAUGAGAUGAGAAUGAUGUUGAUGGCAGAGGACACCCAGGGUUAUGCUCCUUUUUGUUAUAGACUCUUUAAUGCAAUUCAGGUUUCUUAUUCUUACAUGUCUAUAUUGAUACAUAAAUAAUUUUCCCUCAAAGGUUCAGUUUGAAAAGGCCGACAGGUGCUUCAUAUUGGAGGUAAUCUUUCCCUUUUUUUUAACUAGAACCUGUACACCUAAACAUCAGGGGAAUGUGUUAAUAAGCUUGAUUUUUCCUGACCUAUAUUUUACAGAUGCCAACAUCUGUGCUUGAUGAAAUCCACAAAGAGGUGGUGCUCCAGGAAGGAGAUAAUGUCUACCUGACAUUGGCCCUGGUGUGUACCACAUUCAGAGACAUUGUGUCCACCAAUUAUUUGAGAAGACGGGCACAUUUUCAGUGGCUUGACAGUAAGUUAUUUAAUAGCAGUGGUAUACAAUACUUAAGUACUGUGGUGUUUUGAAUAUCUCUAUGGAAAUGUGCUCUUUUGACUCACAAUUUUGGUACACAGGUGUUGCUACAUGGAGUAGGUUUUCUGCAACGUACAAAAAAGCUUUCUGCACCAUGUACUGACACCUGUAUUGACAUACUGUAUUGACACCUGCCUUGGAUGUGGACGACUAUAUAAAAACUGCACACCAGGUAUACAUCUUAUACAGUACUUGAUAGUGUUGGUAUCUGAUUACACACAGUAUCAUAACUAUGCAUUGAUCACAUCUGUAGAGGUCACUUGUCAGUAUGUUUUUUUACCUUCCUUUUUGUUUUACAGGAUAUGUUGGGACAGGAAAAAGGGGAGCGCUAGAAGCAAUCUAUUCCGAAGCUGAAGAUCCGGGAUACUGCAAUCACUUCUGCAGCCAAUUGCAAUCGGUAAACAUAAGUUUAACACAAACACAAAUCCUAGACUAAAUUAUGUCACUGAAAUGUAUGUAGGUCUACAAAAAGACCCUUGAAACUAAUUGAGUGAUGUAACUUAUUUAAGGACCCUUAAGAUACAGUGCCGUCAAAAGUAUUCAAACCUUACAAUAAAAAAAAAACUACAUUUCCCUCAGUGAUCUCCACUCUGUGCCCUGUAAUGACAAUAAUUUCAUUCAUUUUUUUUUUUUUUUUUUUUUUUUCAGUGUUCAAUUUUUUUUUAAUUGAACACUGAAUUUUAUCUUUAUCGUUUUUGCAAAUCUUUAAAACCUAUGCCAUUUUCAAUUGUGAAUGAAGCAACUACCAUGGACGUGUCAGUUACAAACUUAACUUCUUGACACUAUAUCUGCACAUCUUUGCUUGUUGCAGGUGUCCCUCUUGCCUGUCCUCCAGCCCCUGCACGUCGAGAGGAGCAGACACCCGUUUGUGCCCAGAGGACAUUACUCACAUGUUGGACUUUUGAGAAUACUUUGCAAAAUCUCAUGACACUGUUAUUGUUGUAAAUAUAUAUAUAUAGUUAUAUGUCCUUAAGAUGUUCAUGUUAAUGUUUGUGUUGUUGUUUCUGCAUACAAGGUUGACCUGUACUUAGUUUGUUUCGAUUGAAUAUGCAUGUUAAGUAUUACCUUAGUUUGUUUCACUAGUCACUUUUGUUGUACAUAGUAACUUUAAAUUGUUACCUUUUUUCCACAUUUGUAUAUAGUCACUGUUAGUACCUGGAAGCAGUAGGAGUGAGCUGCCUUUUCUUUUGACUUGUUUUCUCAUGUUUUUUCAUAGUUUAGGAUGUUAGUUUUAGUGAUGGUCUUUUUUAUUAUUUACUUUGACAUAGGGUUUAGGUAGCUUGAACUUCCCUUUAAAAUCUAGUUUGUUUUGUUUAAUUAUUUUGGCCUUGGUUCACUCCGAAGAGAAGCUUCAUUUUCAGUUUGGUGUAUUGUUUGUGUGCUAAGCAGCAAUAAACUGCUUGUCAUUUUGACUACGCGUGUGUGGACUCCUAUUUAUGUUA
This 2368-nucleotide long non-coding RNA is filed under the name Gadus morhua (Atlantic cod). RNAcentral's name for it is "lncRNA (ENSGMOG00000032515.1)". Lineage: Eukaryota; Metazoa; Chordata; Actinopteri; Gadiformes; Gadidae. The record is from RNAcentral.